UUUUAUCAGUUUUUGUGGAAAAAUUGAGAAUUAAUAAAGUUAGCUGGUUCCGUCCGAAGUUUCCCUCAGGAUAGCUGGCAUUCAAUUUUCACAGUUAUAUCCGGUAAAGCGAAUGUUUAGAGGCAUUGGGCGUAAAAUACGCUCAACCUAUUGACAAACUUUAAAUGGGUAUGAAGUUCAUUUUUCUACUUCAUUGAGAAUGAACAGCGAAUGUGAGUGCCAAGUGGGCCAUUUUUGGUAAGCAGAACUGGCGCUGUUGGAUGCACAAAACGUCAAGAUAAAGAGCCAGAUGGUCUCGCUCAUCAGAUACCAUAAAAGGUGUUGGUCGAUAUAGACAGCAGGACGGUGGCCAUGGAAGUCGGAAUCCGUUAAGGAGUGUGUAACAACUCACCUGCCGAAUCGACUAGUCCUAAAAAUAGGAUGACGCUCGAGCGAGCCUCUUAUACUUGACUGUUACGAUACAACAAGCCAUUAACGGACAUCAUGUCGUAACAAGUAGGACGGUUGAUAUGGUUGCGUCGAAGGCUAACACGUGAGUGUGGCUUGAGCAGUCAUAUGUACAGAUCUUAGUGGUAGUAGCAACUAUUCAAAUGAGAACUUUGAAGACUGACGUGGAGAAAGGUUCCAUGUGAACAGCUAUUGGACAUGGGUCAGUCAGUCCUAAGAUGCGCUCGAAAGAGGGUUCCGAACGAGGAAUAUCUAUAUUCAUAUCAUAUUUAUAUUCCAUCAAAUCGAAAGGGAAACAAGUUAAUAUUCUUGUACUAAGUGUCGGAGAUUGUUUGAUUUCGUGUCAAACAUAUGUGGUAACACAAACAAGCUCAAAUACAUCACAAGUGGUCCUGGAAAAGAGUUUUUCUCUUCUUUGUUACUUCAUCAGACGACCCUGGAAUCAGUUCAACUGGAGAUAGGGUUCAAAUGAAGGUAAAGAGUAGCCGUUCUUGCUACUUCCUCGGUGCAUCAUUUGUGAUCCUUGAAAAUUUGAGCGAGAUAUUCAAUUUCGCACUUAUCUGUACUCUAAACCGCAUCAGGUCUCCAAGGUGAAAAGCCUCUAGUCAAUUAGAACAAGGUAGCACAAGGGAAGUCGGCAAAAUCGAUCGGCAACUUCGGGAUAACGAAUUGGCUCUAAGUGCUAGGGUGUUCGGGCUUGAUGAUAAAGCAGUAGACUUGCUAUUGGAGCUGAGCUUUCGGAUGCAGCAAUGUGUCUGAUCGUUCGGACUAGUGGCUUGUCUUGCUGUGGAAUCGUUUUGCUACGGUAUGCGGUUCGCUUGCGGGCCGUAUUACUUCGGACAUCGUUUAAUAGCAAACUUAGAACUCGCUGCGUCUAGGGGAAUCCGACUGUCUAAUUAAAACAGAGCUUUGCGAUUGGCCGGAAAACUUGGUGUUGACGCAAAGUGAUUUCUGCCCAGUGCUCUGAAUGUUAACGUGAAGAAAUUCAAAUAAGCGCGGGUAAACGGCGGGAGUAACUAUGACUCUCUUCUGGUAGCCAAAUGCCUCGUCAUCUAAUUAGUGACGCGCAUGAUGCGGGAGCGAUGCAGACACCUCCACGCGGUGCUCCUGGAAAGUUGAAUGGGACUAAGUUACCCACUCAGCAACUAAUCAUCUGUACAAACGAAGCCGAAGCCCGGCGCAAACUCAGGUCUGAUCGUCUUGUCCACCCAACGGUGGCAAGCGAUGACUCAAAGUUAACCGUUGGUUUUCGUGCGUCGUCACCUAUGCUCACCCAUCAAUCCGAACAAAGUCCACUUGGACAAAAGGAUCGGGUGAGGGAGUCUCUGCUCUGCAGAGGAGACCAGGUCAUUGGAAUGACGAAGAGAUUGAAGAGCUGAGUAGACUGGUCAAUAGCAAUAUUGGCCCCCAGGGUAAAAUCUCCUGGGUAGCUGUUGAAAAGCUUAGGAAAGAUCUCAAUCUCGGUGA
This 1914-nucleotide ribosomal RNA is filed under the name Adineta vaga. Its description in RNAcentral is "eukaryotic LSU rRNA". The stretch from base 1 to 1578 matches the Rfam family "Eukaryotic large subunit ribosomal RNA", at positions 900 to 3401 of the family's 3401-position model. The record is from RNAcentral. Lineage: Eukaryota; Metazoa; Rotifera; Eurotatoria; Adinetida; Adinetidae.